RNAcentral lists this unclassified non-coding RNA (240 nucleotides) under soil metagenome. Its description in RNAcentral is "partial contains 5.8S ribosomal RNA, internal transcribed spacer 2, and large subunit ribosomal RNA". The record is from RNAcentral.
AACUGAUACUACCUGCGGGAACCUGCGGACGGAUCAUUACUGAAGUGAUUUGGGGAUGUUGCUGGCCCUCUCUCAAGGGGGGGCACUGUGCACUCCUCGAAACAAUUCACAAUUUCCAUCACACCCCUUGUGCACACCUUGUAGGCACCCAAACCCACCUCCGGGUGGUGGGGUCCUAUGUAUUCCUUCAUCUCACACUCUGUUGAAUGGUGCCAUGGGACGCAUCUAAAGGAUUAUUUG